This 460-nucleotide ribosomal RNA is filed under the name uncultured bacterium. RNAcentral's name for it is "partial 16S ribosomal RNA". It matches the Rfam family "Bacterial small subunit ribosomal RNA", at positions 338 to 795 of the family's 1533-position model. The record is from RNAcentral.
CCUACGGGUGGCAGCAGUGAGGAAUAUUGGUCAAUGGACGAGAGUCUGAACCAGCCAAGUAGCGUGAAGGAUGACUGCCCUAUGGGUUGUAAACUUCUUUUAUAUGGGAAUAAAAUGUUCCACGUGUGGGAUUUUGUAUGUACCAUAUGAAUAAGGAUCGGCUAAAUCCGUGCCAGCAGCCGCGGUAAUACGGAGGAUCCGAGCGUUAUCCGGAUUUAUUGGGUUUAAAGGGAGCGUAGGUGGAUUGUUAAGUCAGUUGUGAAAGUUUGCGGCUCAACCGUAACAUUGCAGUUGAAACUGGCAGUCUGGAGUACAGUAGAGGUGGGCGGAAUUCGUGGUGUAGCGGUGAAAUGCUUAGAUAUCACGAAGAACUCCGAUUGCGAAGGCAGCUCACUGGACUGCAACUGACACUGAGGCUCGAAAGUGUGGGUAUCAAACAGGAUUAGAUACCCCAGUAGUC